AAUGAAAGUAUUAUGAAGUUAUAUAUUCCUUUAUUUUUGGCAAUUGCCAUUAUUAUUGUUUCAAUCUGUAUGCAACCUGCAUGCAGCAAAAAAGUAAAAAUAAGAAAUUUUCGAAAACAAGAAAUUGCGAAUUCAAGUGAAUUUAACGUGGAAGAACCAGUAGUGACAGAAAAACCAAAACAUGCAUAUACACCAAAAGUAAGUAAACGGCCAAUGAAGUCAAAAAAGCCAAAAAAGCCAAAAAAGCCAAAGAAACCAGAAAGAUCACGAGGAUAAAAAAGAUAAAGAUUAAAUAAACAAUAACAGCAGUGUAAAAUUAUACAUUAAUUAAAAAUAAUUCAAAAAAUACAAA
Long non-coding RNA from Dalotia coriaria, 352 nucleotides. RefSeq lists it as uncharacterized. Lineage: Eukaryota; Metazoa; Arthropoda; Insecta; Coleoptera; Staphylinidae. The record is from RefSeq and is a predicted model, not a curated record. The transcript is spliced from 2 exons.